GGUAGCGUGGCCGAGCGGUCUAAGGCGCUGGUUUUAAGCACCAGUCAUUUCGAAGGCGUGGGUUCGAAUCCCACCGCUGCCA
Non-coding RNA from Ciona savignyi (Pacific transparent sea squirt), 82 nucleotides. The record is from Rfam. NCBI's taxonomy places the organism in Eukaryota, Metazoa, Chordata, Ascidiacea, Phlebobranchia, Cionidae.